Molecule: ribosomal RNA, 1281 nt
Filed under: Agrilinae sp. 2 ACP-2013
Lineage: Eukaryota; Metazoa; Arthropoda; Insecta; Coleoptera; Buprestidae
Description: 16S ribosomal RNA
Rfam family: Archaeal large subunit ribosomal RNA (bases 1038-1195)
Source: RNAcentral
AUAUAAAUUUAAUUAUUAGGGCUUUUUAUUUGAAUUUAAUUAUUUUUAGUAUUUUGAAAAAAUUAUUUUUAUGAUAUAAUAUUAGUAAAUUGAUUGAAAUUUGAAAGAUUUUUGAAAAAUUUUAUUAUUUUAAGAAAGAUUUUUUUUCUGUACCUUGUGUUUCAGGGUUUAUUUAAAAUAAAUUUUAUAUAAAUUUUUCCCGAAUUAUUAAGAGCUAUAAAAUAUAAUAAUUUAAUGUGGAAUAAUUAUUUAAAAUAUUUUUUUAGUAAUGAAAUGUUAUUCGUUUUUUAAGAUAUCUGGUUUUUUAAGAAAAAAAUUUAAUUUUUCUAUUCUUUAUUUUCUACAAUUUUUUGUUUUAAUUUCUUGAGUAGUUAUUAAAUUAGGGGAUAAGCUUUAAUUUAAAUUUUUAUAAAUUUUUUUAUUUAAUUAAUUUGUAGGAUUAGAAAUUUCUUUCAUAGAUUUUGUUAUAAUUUUUUAAUUUUUUAUUUAAUUUUCUUUUAUUUUAAUUUUUUUAUUAAAAUUUUUUGUUUAAUUUUUUUGGAAAGUAUCUUUGAUAGAAUUAGUAUAUUUUUAUGUAUUUUUAAUUUUUAUUUAAGUUAGAAUUAAGGAACUCGGCAAAUGGAUUUCCGCCUGUUUAAUAAAAACAUGUCUUUUUGAUAAUAAUUUAAAGUCUAAUCUGCUCAAUGAUAAAUAAAAUUAAAUAGCCGCGAUAAUUUGAUCGUGCGAAGGUAGCAUAAUCAUUAGUUUUUUAAUUGAAAUCUGGAAUGAAGGAUUGGACGAGAAAUUUACUGUCUCAUUUUUAUAAAUUUAUAAUUUUAUUUUUAAGUAAGAAAGCUUAAAUCUUUUUAAAAGACGAGAAGACCCUAUAGAGUUUAAUAUAUAUAAAUUUUUAAUUUUAGAUUAAGUUUCUUUCUUUAUAAAAUUUUAAUUAUAUUUAGUUGGGGUGACUUUAAGAAUUAAUAAACUCUUUUUUUUUAUUGCAUUAAUUUAUGGAUUUUUGAAUUAUUAAUUAUAUUUUCAAGAAAAAUUACCUUAGGGAUAACAGCGUUAUUUUUUUUAGAGUUCUUAUCGAAAAAGAAGAUUGCGACCUCGAUGUUGGAUUAAAGUUAAAUUUUGGUGUAGAAGCUAGAAAUUUUAGUCUGUUCGACUAUUAAAACUUUACAUGAUCUGAGUUUAGACCGGCGUGAGCCAGGUUGGUUUCUAUCUUUAAUUAAUUAUAAUUUUUUAGUACGAAAGGACCAAAAAUUUUUAAAAUUUUAAUUUGUGUUUUUAAUAAAUAUG